This 472-nucleotide ribosomal RNA is filed under the name bacterium fme09x27p286. RNAcentral's name for it is "bacterial SSU rRNA". It matches the Rfam family "Bacterial small subunit ribosomal RNA", at positions 48 to 519 of the family's 1533-position model. The record is from RNAcentral.
GCUACACAUGCAGUCGAGCGGUAACAGAAGUAGCUUGCUACUUUGCUGACGAGCGGCGGACGGGUGAGUAAUGCUUGGGAACAUGCCUUGAGGUGGGGGACAACAGUUGGAAACGACUGCUAAUACCGCAUAAUGUCUACGGACCAAAGGGGGCUUCGGCUCUCGCCUUUAGAUUGGCCCAAGUGGGAUUAGCUAGUUGGUGAGGUAAUGGCUCACCAAGGCGACGAUCCCUAGCUGGUUUGAGAGGAUGAUCAGCCACACUGGGACUGAGACACGGCCCAGACUCCUACGGGAGGCAGCNGUGGGGAAUAUUGCACAAUGGGCGCNAGCCUGAUGCAGCCAUGCCGCGUGUGUGAAGAAGGCCUUCGGGUUGUAAAGCACUUUCAGUCNGGAGGAAAGGUUAGNAGUUAAUACCUGCUAGCUGUGACGUUACUGACAGAAGAGCACCGGCUAACUCCGUGCCAGCGCCGCG